Molecule: ribosomal RNA, 1355 nt
Filed under: uncultured bacterium
Lineage: Bacteria
Description: bacterial SSU rRNA
Rfam family: Bacterial small subunit ribosomal RNA
Source: RNAcentral
CCUGGCUCACGAUGAACGCUGGCGGCGCGCCUAACACAUGCAAGUCGAACGAUAGAUGAAGAGCUUGCUCUUCAAAUCGAGUGGCGAACGGGUGAGUAACGCGUGAGGAACCUGCCUCAAAGAGGGGGACAACAGUUGGAAACGACUGCUAAUACCGCAUAAGCCCACGGCUCGGCAUCGAGCAGAGGGAAAAGGAGCAAUCCGCUUUGAGAUGGCCUCGCGUCCGAUUAGCUAGUUGGUGAGGUAACGGCCCACCAAGGCGACGAUCGGUAGCCGGACUGAGAGGUUGAACGGCCACAUUGGGACUGAGACACGGCCCAGACUCCUACGGGAGGCAGCAGUGGGGAAUAUUGCACAAUGGGGGAAACCCUGAUGCAGCGACGCCGCGUGGAGGAAGAAGGUCUUCGGAUUGUAAACUCCUGUUGUUGAGGAAGAUAAUGACGGUACUCAACAAGGAAGUGACGGCUAACUACGUGCCAGCAGCCGCGGUAAAACGUAGGUCACAAGCGUUGUCCGGAAUUACUGGGUGUAAAGGGAGCGCAGGCGGGAGAACAAGUUGGAAGUGAAAUCCAUGGGCUCAACCCAUGAACUGCUUUCAAAACUGUUUUUCUUGAGUAGUGCAGAGGUAGGCGGAAUUCCCGGUGUAGCGGUGGAAUGCGUAGAUAUCGGGAGGAACACCAGUGGCGAAGGCGGCCUACUGGGCACCAACUGACGCUGAGGCUCGAAAGUGUGGGUAGCAAACAGGAUUAGAUACCCUGGUAGUCCACACCGUAAACGAUGAUUACUAGGUGUUGGAGGAUUGACCCCUUCAGUGCCGCAGUUAACACAAUAAGUAAUCCACCUGGGGAGUACGACCGCAAGGUUGAAACUCAAAGGAAUUGACGGGGGCCCGCACAAGCAGUGGAGUAUGUGGUUUAAUUCGACGCAACGCGAAGAACCUUACCAAGUCUUGACAUCCCUUGACGAUACUGGAAACAGUAUUUCUCUUCGGAGCAAGGAGACAGGUGGUGCAUGGUUGUCGUCAGCUCGUGUCGUGAGAUGUUGGGUUAAGUCCCGCAACGAGCGCAACCCUUAUGGUCAGUUACUACGCAAGAGGACUCUGGCCAGACUGCCGUUGACAAAACGGAGGAAGGUGGGGAUGACGUCAAAUCAUCAUGCCCUUUAUGACUUGGGCUACACACGUACUACAAUGGCGUUAAACAAAGAGAAGCAAGACCGCGAGGUGGAGCAAAACUCAGAAACAACGUCCCAGUUCGGACUGCAGGCUGCAACUCGCCUGCACGAAGUCGGAAUUGCUAGUAAUCGUGGAUCAGCAUGCCACGGUGAAUACGUUCCCGGGCCUGUACACACCGCCC